RNAcentral lists this ribosomal RNA (567 nucleotides) under uncultured bacterium. Its description in RNAcentral is "bacterial SSU rRNA". It matches the Rfam family "Bacterial small subunit ribosomal RNA", at positions 102 to 655 of the family's 1533-position model. The record is from RNAcentral.
ACGGGUGAGUAACACGUGGGCAACCUGCCCUUGAGACUGGGAUAACUUCGGGAAACCGGAGCUAAUACCGGAUAAUAUAAGGAACCUCCUGGUUCCUUGUUGAAAGAUGGUUUCGGCUAUCACUUAAGGAUGGGCCCGCGGCGCAUUAGCUAGUUGGUGAGGUAACGGCUCACCAAGGCGACGAUGCGUAGCCGACCUGAGAGGGUGAUCGGCCACACUGGGACUGAGACACGGCCCAGACUCCUACGGGAGGCAGCAGUAGGGAAUCUUCCACAAUGGACGAAAGUCUGAUGGAGCAACGCCGCGUGAGUGAUGAAGGCCUUCGGGUCGUAAAGCUCUGUUGUUAGGGAAGAACAAGUGCGAGAGUAACUGCUCGCACCUUGACGGUACCUAACCAGAAAGCCACGGCUAACUACGUGCCAGCAGCCGCGGUAAUACGUAGGUGGCAAGCGUUAUCCGGAAUUAUUGGGCGUAAAGCGCGCGCAGGUGGUUUCUUAAGUCUGAUGUGAAAGCCCACGGCUCAACCGUGGAGGGUCAUUGGAAACUGGGGAACUUGAGUGCAGAAGA